GGCAGCGUGGCUUAGUGGAAAGAGCCUGGGCUUGGGAGUCAGAGGACAUGGGUUCUAAUCCCAGCUCUGUCA
Molecule: transfer RNA, 72 nt
Filed under: Ornithorhynchus anatinus (platypus)
Lineage: Eukaryota; Metazoa; Chordata; Mammalia; Monotremata; Ornithorhynchidae
Rfam family: tRNA
About the family: Transfer RNA (tRNA) molecules are approximately 80 nucleotides in length. Their secondary structure includes four short double-helical elements and three loops (D, anti-codon, and T loops).
Source: Rfam by way of RNAcentral